AUUGAACGCUGGCGGCAGGCCUAACACAUGCAAGUCGAACGAGUGGCGGACGGGUGAGUAAUGUCUGGGAAACUGCCUGGUGGCGGGGGAUAACUACUGGAAACGGUAGCUAAUACCGCAUACCAUCAGAUGUGCCCAGAUGGGAUUAGCUAGUAGGUGGGGUAAUGGCGCACCUAGGCGAAGCUCCCUAGCUGGUCUGAGAGGAUGACCAGCCACACUGGAACGGCGACACGGUCCAUAGUCCUACGGGAGGCAGCAGUGGGGAAUAUUGCACAAUGGGGGCAAACCUGAUGCAGCCAUGCCGCGUGUGUGAAGAAGGCCUUCGGGUUGUAAAGCACUUUCAGCGAGGAGGCGUGACUCGCAGAAGAAGCACCGGCUAACGCCGUGCCAGGAGCCGCGGUAAUUC
Molecule: ribosomal RNA, 406 nt
Filed under: uncultured bacterium
Lineage: Bacteria
Description: partial 16S ribosomal RNA
Rfam family: Bacterial small subunit ribosomal RNA
Source: RNAcentral